Molecule: ribosomal RNA, 300 nt
Filed under: uncultured Enterococcus sp.
Lineage: Bacteria; Bacillati; Bacillota; Bacilli; Lactobacillales; Enterococcaceae
Description: bacterial SSU rRNA
Rfam family: Bacterial small subunit ribosomal RNA
Source: RNAcentral
GGUAACUUCGGGACCGAGUGCGUGGUAAGACGAAGGGGGCUGGCGUUGCUUGGAAGUACUGGGCGGAAAGGGAGCGUAGGCGGACUGUUAAGUUAGAGGUGAAAGCCCAGGGCUCAACCUUGGAAUUGCCUUUGAUACUGGCAGUCUUGAGUACGGAAGAGGUAUGUGGAACUCCGAGUGUAGAGGUGAAAUUCGUAGAUAUUCGGAAGAACACCAGUGGCGAAGGCGACAUACUGGUCCGUUACUGACGCUGAGGCUCGAAAGCGUGGGGAGCAAACAGGAUUAGAUACCCUUGUAGUC